RNAcentral lists this microRNA (29 nucleotides) under Vombatus ursinus (common wombat). Its description in RNAcentral is "miRNA (ENSVURG00010004618.1)". Lineage: Eukaryota; Metazoa; Chordata; Mammalia; Diprotodontia; Vombatidae. The record is from RNAcentral.
UGUACACCGUAACAGCAAUAUUGUACAAU